This 253-nucleotide ribosomal RNA is filed under the name uncultured bacterium. Its description in RNAcentral is "partial 16S ribosomal RNA". It matches the Rfam family "Bacterial small subunit ribosomal RNA", at positions 524 to 776 of the family's 1533-position model. The record is from RNAcentral.
UACGUAGGGGGCAAGCGUUGUCCGGAUUUAUUGGGCGUAAAGAGCGUGUAGGCGGCCGUCCAGGUCAGCUGUGAAAACUCGAGGCUCAACCUCGAGACGUCGGUUGAAACCGUACGGCUAGAGUCCGGAAGAGGAGAGUGGAAUUCCCGGUGUAGCGGUGAAAUGCGCAGAUAUCGGGAAGAACACCCGUGGCGAAGGCGGCUCUCUGGGACGGUACUGACGCUGAGACGCGAAAGCGUGGGGAGCAAACAGG